This 481-nucleotide ribosomal RNA is filed under the name uncultured bacterium. RNAcentral's name for it is "partial 16S ribosomal RNA". It matches the Rfam family "Bacterial small subunit ribosomal RNA", at positions 28 to 507 of the family's 1533-position model. The record is from RNAcentral.
GAUGAACGCUGGCGGCGUGCUUAACACAUGCAAGUCGAACGAAACACCUUAUUUGAUUUUCUUCGGAACUGAAGAUUUGGUGAUUGAGUGGCGGACGGGUGAGUAACGCGUGGGUAACCUGCCCUGUACAGGGGGAUAACAGUCAGAAAUGACUGCUAAUACCGCAUAAGACCACAGCACCGCAUGGUGCAGGGGUAAAAACUCCGGUGGUACAGGAUGGACCCGCGUCUGAUUAGCUGGUUGGUGAGGUAACGGCUCACCAAGGCGACGAUCAGUAGCCGGCUUGAGAGAGUGAACGGCCACAUUGGGACUGAGACACGGCCCAAACUCCUACGGGAGGCAGCAGUGGGGAAUAUUGCACAAUGGGGGAAACCCUGAUGCAGCGACGCCGCGUGAGUGAAGAAGUAUUUCGGUAUGUAAAGCUCUAUCAGCAGGGAAGAAAAUGACGGUACCUGACUAAGAAGCCCCGGCUAACUACGUG